ANAGUUUGAUCCUGGCUCAAAGUGAACGCUGGCGGCGUGCCUAAAACAUGCAAGUCGUACGCGAAAGGGGGCAACCCUGANUANAGUGGCGCAAGGGUGAGUAAUANUUAGGUAACGUACCUUCCUGCUGGGGAUAACCAGGGGAAACCCUGGCUAAUACCGAAUAGUCCUCUCGGACACACGGUUCGAGAGGUAAAGCCGCAAGGCGCGGGAAGAUCGGCCUAACUCCUAUCAGCUAGUUGGUAGGGUAACGGCCUACCAAGGCUAUGACGGGUAGCCGGUCUGANAGGAUGGUCGGCCACACUGGCACUGAGACACGGGCCANACUCCUACGGGAGGCAGCAGUUAGGAAUCUUGCGCAAUGGGCGAAAGCCUGACGCAGCGACGCCGCGUGAGGGAANAAGGCCUUCGGGUUGUAAACCUCUUUCGGCGGGGAAUACAAAAGACAGUACCCGCANAANAAGCCCCGGCUAACUACGUGCCAGCAGCCGCGGUAAAACGUAGGGGGCAAGCGUUACUCGGAAUUACUGGGCGUAAAGGGUGUGUAGGCGGCUUCGUAAGUCCGAUGUGAAAGCCCUAGACUUAAUCUAGGAACUGCAUCGGAUACUGCGAGGCUAGAGUCCCAGAGGGGAGACCGGAAUUCCCGGUGUANAGGUGAAAUUCGUAAAUAUCGGGAGGGACACCGAAAGCGAAGGCGGGUCUCUGGCUGGGUACUGACGCUGANACACNAAAGCGUGGGGAGCAAACAGGAUUAGAUACCCUGGUAGUCCACGCCCUAAACGAUCGCCACUAAAUGUCGGGUCNAAANACUCGGUGUCCCANCUAACG
RNAcentral lists this ribosomal RNA (828 nucleotides) under uncultured bacterium. Its description in RNAcentral is "bacterial SSU rRNA". It matches the Rfam family "Bacterial small subunit ribosomal RNA", at positions 8 to 857 of the family's 1533-position model. The record is from RNAcentral.